UCAUUGCUGAAGAGUUCCACAAUAGAACGAAAUGGCCAUCCAGUAC
Non-coding RNA from Schistosoma rodhaini, 46 nucleotides. The record is from Rfam. Lineage: Eukaryota; Metazoa; Platyhelminthes; Trematoda; Strigeidida; Schistosomatidae.